This 671-nucleotide long non-coding RNA is filed under the name Homo sapiens (human). Its description in RNAcentral is "non-protein coding LINC01268:9". The record is from RNAcentral. Lineage: Eukaryota; Metazoa; Chordata; Mammalia; Primates; Hominidae.
AGCUGCCGAGUGAGAAGUCUGACUAUCCGGAGAUGGCGGUGAGUAUAGAGAAUUUCUGCUAGGUCUCCUGUGUUUCAGCCAUCCCAGCCCAGGCACCACGACACAUUAUCAAAGGACUAUCUUGGACCUUCUCAUCCCAGCAAACAUCCAAUGGAGAAGAAUGAAGACUCCAGGCAUAUGAUCCCACUCUAGCCAUCCCAGGAGCCCCCAGCUAUCCAAACAACUACAGCUGUGGCCAAAAACAUCGUGUAUCAGGGACAAACUCUCUGCUUAUGGCUGCUCUAAUCCUUGACCUACAGAAUCAUGAAAUUUGUGGAUACGGUCAUGAUCUUGAUUUUGGCGAUGGUUUCACAGGUCAGAUGUACGUGAUGGUUACCAUUAUAACUACAUACUAUGAAAGAUUAAUCAGUGGAAAAAAACAAGUUAAAGACACACAAAAAACUUCAGAGAAUCAACUUCUGGUCAAAAAAGCCCUCCUUUAGCCAACUCUAAACCUCAUUCAACCAAUAUUCUCUAUAGUCUUAGAAAGCAUUCAGAAGACAUAAUAUUUUUUAAGGACUUCAAGCAGCAAAUGGCAGAAGUGACAAGAAUUGAAAAUAGAGGAAAAUUUUGUUUUGUUUAAAGAAUUCUAAUUUUAAUAAUGGGAAGUAUGCAUCCAUAUUUAUGCCAGA